This 555-nucleotide long non-coding RNA is filed under the name Nicotiana benthamiana. RNAcentral's name for it is "long non-coding RNA (NBEN_LNC026514)". Lineage: Eukaryota; Viridiplantae; Streptophyta; Magnoliopsida; Solanales; Solanaceae. The record is from RNAcentral.
AGACAAUGAAAUACAUAGAAUAAAGCGAGAUACAUUGAAUAUAAUGAAAAAAUAAGAUAGUGAAAUACAAUAAAUAUAUAGAAUAUAGCGAGAUACAUUGAAAUACAAUAAAAAAAGUAAAAAACUAUUCAAGUUCCUCAUCCCCAAACUCCGUCCCCAAUCCACCGAUAUCCAAGUUGCCGCCAUUGGGGCGUCACUGCCGGUUAAAUGAAGAUAGUUAUUGAAAAAGUAGGUUCAAUUGUGAUCCCAAAAUCAAAUAUAAAUGCAAAAACCCGAUGAAAAGGGCAUAAUCUAAUAUCUUGCAAUAUUUGUAACUUUGUUGAGUACUACUGCUUCGGGGUUCACAAUAUCUUUCAAAAUUGAACAAGAAUUUACCACAGAAACUUCCUACCAAAUGUCAGGAAAUUAGGCUAACAAGCAGAAGAAGGAAUACAAUGGUAUUGACGUGAUAAGCCAGAGUUUCGAAUUUGUUUAUCUCUGCAUAGGCUGAAUCCAUGAAUCGGGGUAAAAGAGAAGAAAGAAGAAAGAGAAAGAAGGGGAGAGGGAAGAGACAGG